GAUGAACGCUGGCGGCGUGCCUAAUACAUGCAAGUCGAGCGAACGGACGAGAAGCUUGCUUUUCUGAUGUUAGCGGCGGACGGGUGAGUAACACGUGGAUAACCUACCUAUAAGACUGGGAUAACUUCGGGAAACCGGAGCUAAUACCGGAUAAUAUUUUGAACCGCAUGGUUCAAAAGUGAAAGACGGUCUUGCUGUCACUUAUAGAUGGAUCCGCGCUGCAUUAGCUAGUUGGUAAGGUAACGGCUUACCAAGGCAACGAUGCAUAGCCGACCUGAGAGGGUGAUCGGCCACACUGGAACUGAGACACGGUCCAGACUCCUACGGGAGGCAGCAGUAGGGAAUCUUCCGCAAUGGGCGAAAGCCUGACGGAGCAACGCCGCGUGAGUGAUGAAGGUCUUCGGAUCGUAAAACGCUGUUAUUAGGGAAGAACAUAUGUGUAAGUAACUGUGCACAUCUUGACGGUACCUAAUCAGAAAGCCACGGCUAACUACGU
RNAcentral lists this ribosomal RNA (496 nucleotides) under uncultured bacterium. RNAcentral describes it as "partial 16S ribosomal RNA". It matches the Rfam family "Bacterial small subunit ribosomal RNA", at positions 28 to 506 of the family's 1533-position model. The record is from RNAcentral.